Non-coding RNA from Vicia faba (fava bean), 249 nucleotides. The record is from the annotation of a GenBank genome assembly. NCBI's taxonomy places the organism in Eukaryota, Viridiplantae, Streptophyta, Magnoliopsida, Fabales, Fabaceae.
AUGGUAAAAUAUAACCGAUGUCUAUAUAAUGCCGGUUUACAGUGUCGGUGCAAAACUGUUAAACUCUUGAUCAUGGUCGUGCGAGUAUAUUUUGUACAUGUUUCUUAUACUAGUUUGUAUUCUUAUACCACAGCAUGUAGCUUGUACAUUGUUAUUUCUUCAUUUUUUUUUGCUCUAGUUAAGUUCCUUUCUAAGUUGCACAGGAAAUUAUGUUUUAUGAUUCCAGGUUUCUAUGAACUUCAAUUGUAA